RNAcentral lists this ribosomal RNA (507 nucleotides) under uncultured bacterium. Its description in RNAcentral is "bacterial SSU rRNA". It matches the Rfam family "Bacterial small subunit ribosomal RNA", at positions 8 to 526 of the family's 1533-position model. The record is from RNAcentral.
AGGGUUCGAUUAUGGCUCAGGACGAAUGCUGGCGGUGCGCUUAAUGCAUGCAAGUCGAGCGAAGCUUCAGAUAGCUUGCUAUUUGAAUGACUGAGCGGCGAACGGGUGAGUAACGCGUGAACAAUCUACCUUAAAUAUUAGGAUAACUCAAGGAAACUUGAAUUAAUACUGAAUAAUCUUUCAAAUUCACAUGAAUUAUAAAGCAAAGGCCAGCCGAUUUAAGAUGAGUUCGCGUUCUAUCAGCUUGUUGGUAAGGUAAAGGCUUACCAAGGCAAUGACGGAUAGCUGGUCUGAGAGGACGAUCAGCCACACUGGGACUGAGACACGGCCCAGACUCCUACGGGAGGCUGCAGCAGGGAAUCUUGCGCAAUGAGCGAAAGCUUGACGCAGCGACACCGCGUGUGGGAUGACGGAUCUAGGUUUGUAAACCACUUUCAGGAGGGAAGAAAUUGACGGUACCUCCACAAGAAGCCCCGGCCAACUACGUGCCAGCCGCCGCGGUAAUAC